AGAGGGUGCAAGCGUUAAUCGGAAUUACUGGGCGUAAAGAGCACGUAGGUGGACAAUUAAGUUAGGUGUGAAAGUUCUGGGCUUAACCUGGAAAUGUCAUCUAAAACUGAUUGUCUAGAGUACGAUAGAGGAAAGUAGAAUUUCCGGUGUAGCGGUGAAAUGCGUAGAUAUCGGAAGGAAUACCCGUAGCGAAGGCGACUUUCUGGAUUGAUACUGACACUGAGGUGCGAAAGCGUGGGGAGCAAACAGGGAUUAGAUACCCUGGUAGUCCACGCCGUAAACGAUGAGAACUAGCCCGUUGGGAAGCUUUGACUUCUUUGUGGCGCAGCUAACGCAUUAAGUUCUCCGCCUGGGGAGUACGGCCGCAAGGCUA
This 373-nucleotide ribosomal RNA is filed under the name uncultured organism. Its description in RNAcentral is "partial 16S ribosomal RNA". It matches the Rfam family "Bacterial small subunit ribosomal RNA", at positions 527 to 896 of the family's 1533-position model. The record is from RNAcentral.